AAAAGAAAGAAUUGGGCAUGCCUGUACUUUAAAUUUAAUUUAAAAUACAUUGAUGCAGCUUGAUACUUAGAAAUACAUAAAAGGCAAUGUGAACUUUUACGCUUUUGUUUGUAUUCAAGGUUUUGGCUUCAUAAAACCAGAUAGAUUGAAACGUUGCAUAAGGUUUGAACACGCAGAUGAGUAAUGAUUUUCUAUUAAUGUUUGACUAUCUCCAUUCCUUUAAUUCAUGAAAAUUCUGUGUUUGAAUUAAAUAAGCAUAUAUAAAAAAUGAAACAAUUCUCUGAUCACUUCUAAUUGAGAAAAUUAAUCAUAGUAAUUUGUAAUCUGCAUGUUCAUGUAAUGAUAAAAAUUUCAAUCUUGUUUUAAAGUUAAGUGUCUUCCCUCUCUCAGCUCGAGUGUGCUGAAGGCAAAGAACUGUGGAAAAUGGAAGUACUGGGGCUUCCUCUCCCUCUCUCUCUCAUUUCCUCCCUCCCCCCUCUCCUUUUCUCUCCCUCCCUCCUAUCCCUCCUAAAGUGCUUCAUCUCAUUCCUCACCUUGCUAACUAAGGUUUCUUGCUGCUCCAGAGUUAGAGCUCAUAGAGGAGAGGAGGUGAGGGUGAUCAGAAAGUUUUACAUGGCAAGAACUGUUGUUGAUCUAGUGUUUACAUCUCUGGUUUUGGCAUGUGUUUAACACUACUCCUUUUUCCAGCAGGUGCUUCUUUGGAAACUUCUCAUCAUUGGGAUGUCUCUCCUUGACACGCAGAAGUACAUUUUUAUUUUGGCUUUCACAACACCUAGGAGUUUUAGAAGUACACUCUUUGCUUCUAUUUGCUCUGGUACCUUCUUUCCAGCGAGUGAUCCUUGAACAAUAUCUAAGACAGUUCUCUCUCUUGCGUGGCUUAGAGCUGGUCCAAGGGAAAUACUUUACCUUCUGAACCUGAGGAUAAUGAGGAAACAAUUUUAAACUCCCUGGGUGGUCCCUUGAAGCACUGAGCCUCAGGCUUCAGUUUAUCAUGUCACUGAGAGAACACAUCUGCUGUUUCCUGCUUCUUUCCCUUUGUGACGGUCUAUGAAGAAGGUGAACUGGACACGAGAGGAGGAAGAGGAGUGCUUGGCUACAAGUGAACUUCAUAAUCCCUCGUUCAUAGAAGGACC
This is a long non-coding RNA of Hipposideros armiger (great roundleaf bat), 1133 nucleotides long. RefSeq lists it as uncharacterized. The record is from RefSeq and is a predicted model, not a curated record. Lineage: Eukaryota; Metazoa; Chordata; Mammalia; Chiroptera; Hipposideridae. The transcript has 3 exons.